AUUGGGGCAUCCCAUGGUAGCCAUGUGACGUGUGUAUUUGUGGGUGCAAGGGCUCCAAAAGUUGGCACCUAAAGGAUCUCCUAAAGAAGGUCAAAUAACUAAAAGAAUAAGGAUUCCUAAUGCAAGUAGGACUUGUAUUAAGUGGUUGUUUGAUUUUGAAUAGGAUUCAAACCUUAUGCCUACUUAAAAGAGCCUUCCC
This 199-nucleotide long non-coding RNA is filed under the name Elaeis guineensis (African oil palm). RNAcentral's name for it is "long non-coding RNA (EGUI_LNC044221)". The record is from RNAcentral. Lineage: Eukaryota; Viridiplantae; Streptophyta; Magnoliopsida; Arecales; Arecaceae.